UGUUGGGACGAGAACAAAGGCGUAUUGACUCGGUCGCCAAAAAUGCGCCCGAGUCAUUUUCGCCGUAUGUUUGAGGUCUCGAAGAAACCAGGACAGUUUUAUGUUAGUGGAUUAACACUUUUGAUCGGCUCCUUCAUAACUGCGUCUGAUAAAACACUUCCAGCACUAGUUUGUGGUUUGUUGUUUGUUUGGGAGGAUAAACUGAUAUACAGAGAACGUUUAGAUUGAUCGGCCUCUUGGGACAUUGGCGUUAAAAAAAAAUUGACAAGUCUUCUAUACUGUUUAAUAUCAUGAAUUAUCCUCGUUUCCAAUUAGAUGUCUGGAAUAGUAGAAAUGUCCGAGUCGAGCACCAUUUGGCCAUGUGUUCUGCGAGCAGUCGAGGCGAAGUGAUUUGCGACCCACUUCACUGCUCGAUGAUUUAUAAGCAUUCUCUUCGAAAUUUAUUCCUCCCUGAUAUCAUAUACCCUCACAGUACUUUCUGCCCGCAUGAGGGUACUACUUGGUAAUUCUUCAGGAACUGAAACUUCUCAAACUUAGACAUAAAAAAAAUCAGUCUAUAUCUGAUUUCCUGAACACUGUUUUAUUUCCAUUUAUAAAUUUGAAUCUGUCUAUAAUGUUAAUACAAUUGGUAAAUAUUUUGUUUAACAAAAAUGUUGAUUAGAAGCAUAGAUAAAUAAGUUGAUUAGAAGGCAAUGCUGUAGUCCUUUCUAGUUGUUAAAUAUUUUAUUUGUAAAUAGUACUUUUAACCUUCAAGUAGGAAUUUAGCAAGUAAGCUUACAAUGUCAUGAAGGAAUUGAUAUCACUGUUGAUCUAUUAGAUCGGCUA
Molecule: long non-coding RNA, 825 nt
Organism: Ctenocephalides felis (cat flea)
Lineage: Eukaryota; Metazoa; Arthropoda; Insecta; Siphonaptera; Pulicidae
Exons: 3
Source: RefSeq, a predicted model, not a curated record